Molecule: ribosomal RNA, 1377 nt
Filed under: uncultured bacterium
Lineage: Bacteria
Description: bacterial SSU rRNA
Rfam family: Bacterial small subunit ribosomal RNA
Source: RNAcentral
CCUGGCUCACGAUGAACGCUAGCUACAGGCUUAACACAUGCAAGUCGAGGGGCAGCAUGGUCUUAGCUUGCUAAGGCCGAUGGCGACCGGCGCACGGGUGAGUAACACGUAUCCAACCUGCCGUCUACUCUUGGACAGCCUUCUGAAAGGAAGAUUAAUACAAGAUGGCAUCAUGAGUCCGCAUGUUCACAUGAUUAAAGGUAUUCCGGUAGACGAUGGGGAUGCGUUCCAUUAGAUAGUAGGCGGGGUAACGGCCCACCUAGUCUUCGAUGGAUAGGGGUUCUGAGAGGAAGGUCCCCCACAUUGGAACUGAGACACGGUCCAAACUCCUACGGGAGGCAGCAGUGAGGAAUAUUGGUCAAUGGGCGAGAGCCUGAACCAGCCAAGUAGCGUGAAGGAUGACUGCCCUAUGGGUUGUAAACUUCUUUUAUAAAGGAAUAAAGUCGGGUAUGGAUACCCGUUUGCAUGUACUUUAUGAAUAAGGAUCGGCUAACUCCGUGCCAGCAGCCGCGGUAAUACGGAGGAUCCGAGCGUUAUCCGGAUUUAUUGGGUUUAAAGGGAGCGUAGAUGGAUGUUUAAGUCAGUUGUGAAAGUUUGCGGCUCAACCGUAAAAUUGCAGUUGAUACUGGAUAUCUUGAGUGCAGUUGAGGCAGGCGGAAUUCGUGGUGUAGCGGUGAAAUGCUUAGAUAUCACGAAGAACUCCGAUUGCGAAGGCAGCCUGCUAAGCUGCAACUGACAUUGAGGCUCGAAAGUGUGGGUAUCAAACAGGAUUAGAUACCCUGGUAGUCCACACGGUAAACGAUGAAUACUCGCUGUUUGCGAUAUACAGCAAGCGGCCAAGCGAAAGCGUUAAGUAUUCCACCUGGGGAGUACGCCGGCAACGGUGAAACUCAAAGGAAUUGACGGGGGCCCGCACAAGCGGAGGAACAUGUGGUUUAAUUCGAUGAUACGCGAGGAACCUUACCCGGGCUUAAAUUGCAGAUGAAUUACGGUGAAAGCCGUAAGCCGCAAGGCAUCUGUGAAGGUGCUGCAUGGUUGUCGUCAGCUCGUGCCGUGAGGUGUCGGCUUAAGUGCCAUAACGAGCGCAACCCUUGUUGUCAGUUACUAACAGGUUCCGCUGAGGACUCUGACAAGACUGCCAUCGUAAGAUGUGAGGAAGGUGGGGAUGACGUCAAAUCAGCACGGCCCUUACGUCCGGGGCUACACACGUGUUACAAUGGGGGGUACAGAGGGCCGCUACCACGCGAGUGGAUGCCAAUCCCCAAAACCUCUCUCAGUUCGGACUGGAGUCUGCAACCCGACUCCACGAAGCUGGAUUCGCUAGUAAUCGCGCAUCAGCCACGGCGCGGUGAAUACGUUCCCGGGCCUUGCACACAC